This 75-nucleotide transfer RNA is filed under the name uncultured archaeon. Its description in RNAcentral is "tRNA-Gly(gcc)". It matches the Rfam family "tRNA". Rfam says of the family: Transfer RNA (tRNA) molecules are approximately 80 nucleotides in length. Their secondary structure includes four short double-helical elements and three loops (D, anti-codon, and T loops). Further hydrogen bonds mediate the characteristic L-shaped molecular structure. tRNAs have two regions of fundamental functional importance: the anti-codon, which is responsible for specific mRNA codon recognition, and the 3' end, to which the tRNAs corresponding amino acid is attached (by aminoacyl-tRNA synthetases). tRNAs cope with the degeneracy of the genetic code in two manners: having more than one tRNA (with a specific anti-codon) for a particular amino acid; and 'wobble' base-pairing, i.e. permitting non-standard base-pairing at the 3rd anti-codon position. The record is from RNAcentral.
GCGAUUGUAGUCUAACCUGGUUAGGACACGAGAUUGCCAAUCUCGAAAUCCGGGUUCAAAUCCCGGCGAUCGCAC